This 637-nucleotide ribosomal RNA is filed under the name Escherichia coli. RNAcentral describes it as "partial 23S ribosomal RNA". It matches the Rfam family "Bacterial large subunit ribosomal RNA", at positions 397 to 1032 of the family's 2925-position model. Lineage: Bacteria; Pseudomonadati; Pseudomonadota; Gammaproteobacteria; Enterobacterales; Enterobacteriaceae. The record is from RNAcentral.
CUGUGAGCUCGAUGAGUAGGGCGGGACACGUGGUAUCCUGUCUGAAUAUGGGGGGACCAUCCUCCAAGGCUAAAUACUCCUGACUGACCGAUAGUGAACCAGUACCGUGAGGGAAAGGCGAAAAGAACCCCGGCGAGGGGAGUGAAAAAGAACCUGAAACCGUGUACGUACAAGCAGUGGGAGCACAGAGCAAUCUGUGUGACUGCGUACCUUUUGUAUAAUGGGUCAGCGACUUAUAUUCUGUAGCAAGGUUAACCGAAUAGGGGAGCCGAAGGGAAACCGAGUCUUAACUGGGCGUUAAGUUGCAGGGUAUAGACCCGAAACCCGGUGAUCUAGCCAUGGGCAGGUUGAAGGUUGGGUAACACUAACUGGAGGACCGAACCGACUAAUGUUGAAAAAUUAGCGGAUGACUUGUGGCUGGGGGUGAAAGGCCAAUCAAACCGGGAGAUAGCUGGUUCUCCCCGAAAGCUAUUUAGGUAGCGCCUCGUGAAUUCAUCUCCGGGGGUAGAGCACUGUUUCGGCAAGGGGGUCAUCCCGACUUACCAACCCGAUGCAAACUACGAAUACCGGAGAAUGUUAUCACGGGAGACACACGGCGGGUGCUAACGUCCGUCGUGAAGAGGGAAACAACCCAGAC